AUUUAUAUAGUUUAACUAAAACAUUACAUUUUCACUGUAAAAAUAAUAUUAUUUUUAUUUAUAAAUA
RNAcentral lists this transfer RNA (67 nucleotides) under Hieroglyphus annulicornis. RNAcentral's name for it is "tRNA-Glu". The record is from RNAcentral. Lineage: Eukaryota; Metazoa; Arthropoda; Insecta; Orthoptera; Acrididae.